AGUACAGAAUGACUCUCGACAACGGAUAUCUAGGCUCUUGCAUCGAUGAAGGACGUAGCGAAAUGCGAUACUUGGUGUGAAUUGCAGAAUCCCGUGAACCAUCGAGUCUUUGAACGCAAGUUGCGCCCGAAGCCAUUAGGCUCAGGGCACGCCUGCCUGGGUGUCACCCA
Molecule: ribosomal RNA, 170 nt
Filed under: Aeschynomene pygmaea
Lineage: Eukaryota; Viridiplantae; Streptophyta; Magnoliopsida; Fabales; Fabaceae
Description: 5.8S ribosomal RNA
Rfam family: 5.8S ribosomal RNA
About the family: 5.8S ribosomal RNA (5.8S rRNA) is a component of the large subunit of the eukaryotic ribosome.
Source: RNAcentral